GGGCUUGCUGACCGGUCAGCGGGCGGAGGAAGCGACCAGUUGAUGCCCGUCAAAAAUCAAAGAGCUCCGUCCAGCCUAACAAAAGGCUUGUUCGUAACAUUACAGUGUGGGGCCGCUUAAGCCCAGGUUGCCAACGUGGCGCCUCAGAUUGGCUUCUGCGGUGCCUCCUGCAAAGCUGCUGAGCACGCCCCUCCCCCCCGUAGCAGCUGUCGUGUGGCGAGGUCAAGGCACUGUCAGCUUAAAUUGGAUGUAAAGGUGGCUGACCCUCGUGUCCUGGUGACUAAACUUAUUGCUUUCUUGGCAGCCAUGUAUAUACAGAUCUGAGUAAAAGCUGGAGGACUGGUUUCAAAUGACUUUUACGCUCAUGCUCCUCAACCACCCAGUAUCAGCAAAUCAGAGCUUUCAUCUAUCUCCACAGACUGAGGCACCAUCUACAUGUUCAAAAAUGGCAGACCUAGUGUCAGCUAGAGGGCUGAAGAUUCUGAUGUGAGAAGCUGAUUCCAAGCAUGGGGACCCUGUGCCUCCAAGAUAUGUGCUUCUCUUGAGUUUUGGUCUGCUAUUCUUUUUGCCCCUUGGAUCAGCACCCUGACAUGAAGGCAAGAUCCUCUGAUGUGCUAAGAACCAACUGAGCUUCAGGANAAGUUGAAGGGGGGAAAUGCAAAUCAUUCUUUAUCCAUUCCAGGAAGAAAAAGAACGUGUUGUGAGCAACCUCUUCACGUCCACCCUACCCAGUAUCUCCUCAAUCACUGGUGCUAAACACACAGUUAAUUCAUUGACCUGAGAUGUCAAAUUCCAAGCAAAGGAAACCAAAAUGUCAUACUUUCAUUCAUUGCACCAUCGCAUGGAACUAUUUUUUCCGGAUUCUUGGGAAGUUGAAAUAUUUCAGAAGAAUAUCAGGAACUGUUGUUUUAACUUUGGAACUGAACUCCUCACCUUCAACUGUUAUCAGGUGGCAGCAUAUCAGAUAACCCUAAAGAAGGACUGCAGUGUCACAUCAGUGGUGUGACUAAGAUAUCUGGCCACAGGAGGAGGAGGAGGAGGAGGAGGAGGAGGAGGAAGAGGAAGAGGAAGAACAACAACAACAACAACAACAACAACAACAACAUGGUUUUUGUACCCCGCUUUUCUCGGCCAAAGCUGACUCAAAGCGGCUUACAAGGUUAUUUUUCGCCCGAAGGCUUAUGAACACUGUGUAUGUUUUUCUGACCUUAUAAUGCAGAUAAAUAUUCAAUUCUUUCUUCAUCACAUUUUUGCCUCUCUGAGGGCCCAGACAACUGUGAGAUUCUCUCCGUUAGUAGAUGACAAAGAUUCAC
RNAcentral lists this long non-coding RNA (1313 nucleotides) under Salvator merianae (Argentine black and white tegu). RNAcentral describes it as "lncRNA (ENSSMRG00000006682.1)". The record is from RNAcentral. Lineage: Eukaryota; Metazoa; Chordata; Lepidosauria; Squamata; Teiidae.